CAGAGUUUUCCAAACUCCCAAACCCAUGUGAACUUACCUUUGUUGCCUCGGCGGUAGCUUACCCUGUACCUACCCUGUACUUACCCUGUAAAAGGGGUACUUACCCUGUAGUUACCCGGUAGCGGCCGCCGGUGGAUCUCCAAACUCUUGUUUAAUCAUAGACAUUCUGAGUAAUUACUAUAAUAAGUUA
Molecule: unclassified non-coding RNA, 190 nt
Filed under: uncultured Sordariomycetes
Lineage: Eukaryota; Fungi; Ascomycota; Sordariomycetes
Description: sequence contains ITS1
Source: RNAcentral